Molecule: ribosomal RNA, 144 nt
Filed under: Lactuca serriola f. serriola
Lineage: Eukaryota; Viridiplantae; Streptophyta; Magnoliopsida; Asterales; Asteraceae
Description: partial 18S ribosomal RNA
Rfam family: Eukaryotic small subunit ribosomal RNA
Source: RNAcentral
AAUGGUCCGGUGAAGUGUUAGGAUCGCGGCGACGUGGGCGGUUCGCCGCCGGCGACGUCGCGAGAAUUCCACUGAACCUUAUCAUUUAGAGGAAGGAGAAGUCGUAACAAGGUUUCCGUAGGUGAACCUGCGGAAGGAUCAUUG